AUAUCAGGGUGAAAUGCAGCUUGCCAGUAACACUUCAGCUGCUGGGGGCUUGCUCCUCCAGCUUAAUACAUACCUUCCAAGUAACUUCUCUCGAAAGCAUUUCUGGAUAUCUACAACAGCAGACGGACUUAAUCUUUUGCACGAAGGUUGCCAGAGUACCUGCACCCUUUCUCAGCUCCAAACCUGACUUGCGCAACGCGGUGCUUCCGUAGACCCAGUCAUGAAGACCUACGGCCAGUGAGACGUCGCAAGAAGUUUAGCAGGAUGUCGUCUGCAUACAUGUUUGUAAAGAUCAUGCAAGAUGCUCUGAAUGUGAUAAUACGAGAUCUCACGUGACCCAUGGGGAGAGCUGCCAUGUCGUAACUUCUGGCUGACGACAUCGGUGCACUCGAGACGCAUUCUCCUUGGGAAACGCCAGCGAAGUCCUAAUCUUGCAUACGACGUAUUUCUCAAUCACGGUCCUUGACGGGCUAGUCGAGGACGUAAUUUCUCAUGGACCCAUCAUGCUGCACCAGUACCCGGCGAUGUGAUCCAACAGUUUGAAGUACUGCUGAACAUGGCAUGAACUUUCGUGUGCAAGCUUGUGCAUCCAUAUUUCAGCACAGCCCUCUCCUGACUCUCUCAUCCCGCAAUCGAAGCCCCCUGGCGUUUCUUCGGCGAAACGAAUGCGAUAAAUAAAUGUAUUAAAAUGA
Ornithodoros turicata is the source of this 692-nucleotide long non-coding RNA. RefSeq lists it as uncharacterized. The transcript is spliced from 3 exons. NCBI's taxonomy places the organism in Eukaryota, Metazoa, Arthropoda, Arachnida, Ixodida, Argasidae. The record is from RefSeq and is a predicted model, not a curated record.